AGGGGUGUAGCUCAGUGAUAGAGUGCUUUCUUAGCAUGUGUGAGACCCUGGGUUAGACCCCCAGCACCACAC
Molecule: transfer RNA, 72 nt
Filed under: Marmota monax (woodchuck)
Lineage: Eukaryota; Metazoa; Chordata; Mammalia; Rodentia; Sciuridae
Rfam family: tRNA
About the family: Transfer RNA (tRNA) molecules are approximately 80 nucleotides in length. Their secondary structure includes four short double-helical elements and three loops (D, anti-codon, and T loops).
Source: Rfam by way of RNAcentral